RNAcentral lists this non-coding RNA (784 nucleotides) under Eisenia nordenskioldi. Lineage: Eukaryota; Metazoa; Annelida; Clitellata; Crassiclitellata; Lumbricidae. The record is from RNAcentral.
UAACAGCUUGACUCUGGCUGAAAACUUGGCUACUAUUGAAUCAAUAUACAUGUAAGCCCAGGCAACCCCGCAAAUGUAUAAACCUAAAGGGUACAUUAAUUACAUCAAAUUUCUUAUACGUAAUAACACGCCACAGUAAUUAAUCCUAAUAUUCUGUAAACCCAGGAAUUGGAUAUCAAAUUUAGGGUUGGCAAAAUUCGUGCCAGCUGCCGCGGUUAGACGACAAACUCAAGCCAACUAAAACACGACUAGACACAUGAUGUACUAAACAGCUUCCAAGGUCUAAUUUGCAGCCCCCGAAUCUAAAACAUCAAAUUUUGUGAAAGUAUUAGCUAAAACACGGAUUAGAUACCCGUCUAUUUAUACAAUAAACUAAAGUCGAAAAAUACGAACCACAGUUUAAAACUCAAAGAUUUUGGCGGUGUCUUAUCAAACCAGGGGAACCUGUCUCAUAACUCGAUAAUCCACGAAUAUCUUACCUCUCCUUGACCCUCAGCUUGUGUACUGCCGUCGUAAGCACACCUCUAAAAGUACUUUAGUGUGCAACCAUGAAUUAUCCUCAUUUACGUCAGGUCAAAGUGCAGCUCAUGGAGAGGUGACGAUGGGUUACACUCUCAACAAAGAUACAAAACAUAUUUUAAACAAUAUUUAAAGGUGGACUUGGCUGUAAUUCUGAUCCAAGUCACAAUGAAGCCGAAUCUAAGACAUGCACACAUCGCCCGUCACUCUUGCCUAAAGGCGAGAUAAGUCGUAACAAAGUAGGUGUAACGGAAGUUGCACCUGU